UACGAAGGGGGCUAGCGUUGCUCGGAAUCACUGGGCGUAAAGCGCACGUAGGCGGCUUUUUAAGUCAGGGGUGAAAUCCUGGAGCUCAACUCCAGAACUGCCUUUGAUACUGAGAAGCUUGAGUCCGGGAGAGGUGAGUGGAACUGCGAGUGUAGAGGUGAAAUCGUAGAUAUUCGCAAGAACACCAGUGGCGAAGGCGGCUCACUGGCCCGGUACUGACGCUGAGGUGCGAAAGCGUGGGGAGCAAACAGGG
This 253-nucleotide ribosomal RNA is filed under the name uncultured bacterium. RNAcentral's name for it is "partial 16S ribosomal RNA". It matches the Rfam family "Bacterial small subunit ribosomal RNA", at positions 524 to 777 of the family's 1533-position model. The record is from RNAcentral.